RNAcentral lists this ribosomal RNA (551 nucleotides) under uncultured bacterium. Its description in RNAcentral is "bacterial SSU rRNA". It matches the Rfam family "Bacterial small subunit ribosomal RNA", at positions 355 to 896 of the family's 1533-position model. The record is from RNAcentral.
UGAGGAAUUUUGCGCAAUGGGGGAAACCCUGACGCAGCAACGCCGCGUGAGUGAUGAAGGCCCUUGGGUCGUAAAGCUCUGUCGAGUGGGAAGAACUUGAUGGAUGAUAAUACCAUCCUUCACUGACGGUACCACUAAAGGAAGCACCGGCUAACUCCGUGCCAGCAGCCGCGGUAAUACGGAUGGUGCGAGCGUUGUUCGGAAUUACUGGGCGUAAAGGGCGCGUAGGCGGCCUGUUAAGUCAGAUGUGAAAGCCCACGGCUCAACCGUGGAAGUGCAUCUGAAACUGGCAGGCUUGAGUACUGGAGAGGAAAGUGGAAUUCCUGGUGUAGAGGUGAAAUUCGUAGAUAUCAGGAGGAAUACCGGUGGCGAAAGCGGCCUCCUGGACCGAUACUGACGCUGAGACGCGAAAGCGUGGGGAGCAAACAGGAUUAGAUACCCUGGUAGUCCACGCGGUAAACGAUGGGCACUAGGUGUGGGGGGUAUCCACUCCUCCCGUGCCGAAGCUAACGCAUUAAGUGCCCCGCCUGGGGAGUACGGCCGCAAGGUUA